RNAcentral lists this ribosomal RNA (103 nucleotides) under Clavicipitaceae sp. FI 360. RNAcentral describes it as "Paecilomyces sp. FI 360 5.8S ribosomal RNA". The stretch from base 46 to 103 matches the Rfam family "5.8S ribosomal RNA", at positions 1 to 58 of the family's 154-position model. Rfam says of the family: 5.8S ribosomal RNA (5.8S rRNA) is a component of the large subunit of the eukaryotic ribosome. It is transcribed by RNA polymerase I as part of the 45S precursor that also contains 18S and 28S rRNA. Functionally, it is thought that 5.8S rRNA may be involved in ribosome translocation. The record is from RNAcentral. Lineage: Eukaryota; Fungi; Ascomycota; Sordariomycetes; Hypocreales; Clavicipitaceae.
UUGUUUUAUUUAGAAUCUUCUGAGUAGUUUUUACAAAUAAAUAAAAACUUUCAACAACGGAUCUCUUGGUUCUGGCAUCGAUGAAGAACGCAGCGAAAUGCGA